AGCAAGAGCUCAACAGGGCAGGGAUGAGGAGACAGGAAAGGCCCGUACAGUGGUGCAGCUUCCUGGCUUGCUCCUUGCUGCCUGCUCAGCCUGUUUCAUAUACACUCCAGGACCACCAGUAAUGGGCUGGGCUCACCCACAUCCGUUCCUGUGCUUAGUCACAAGCCAGUCUUAACGGAGCUGUUUUCUUAAUUGAGGUGCCCUCUUCUCAGAAGUCUCUAGCUUCUGUCUAGUUGAUAAAGAAAAGAUUUAAAAAAGAAAAUGUCAGUGUGUUAUUUUCUUUCAUUAGAAUUUCUAACUUAAAUUGUAUCUUAUUUUCACAUCUCUUUUUUCUGAAAGUGUAUUUUUUAUACCAUAAUUAUGGCCAUAUAUCAGCUCUCUUUGACCCCUUCAUGAUUUUUAGCAUACCUGAAUCCUUACAUUUAAAAGAGUCACCUAUGAUACAGCAUAAAUUUCUUCCCCCCCCUUUUUUUGUAUACACUAAUGACAAAGUAAUCUUUAGUCUCUACAAAUUUUCUUUAUACUUACAUUUCUCUUUCCUGUGAUAUUAUUGGUAACACAGCUGUUUUGUUUGGAGUGUGUCAGUGUGUAUUAACAGGUUUAUAAUUAAGCUUUCACUUUUGUCUUUUCAAUUUUAUUCAGAAAUUAAAAGUGUGUUGUGUACCCUCCUAAAUCCAUGGAAUUCAAUUUCUCUGUGUUUGAUUCCACGGAGCUUUACAGUUUUAUUAUUUGGGUUGCCCGUAGUAGGGAAGUCUAGUGGUGGUGGUCAUUGAUAGUGUAUAUGCCUGUAUUUUUCCUUGACUCUGAAGAGUGGGCUGUCUGGAUGCAGUAUUUUUAGACUUUGUUCCUUCAGCACAUUCACUGUGACCUCCAUCUUAUGUCUGGACUGCAAUGCCUUUUUUAAGAGCUCCGCUGAGGUCACCUUGGAGCAUCAUAGAGAAGCCACAUCACUUUUACCACUCUCCAGAUUACCUUUGUGACUUGUGGAUCAUAGAGUCUAAUGCAUGGAUCGUUUUCGUGCAUUGUCUCCAUGUUCUUCCCUCUGAGUCAGUCAAUUCUAUUUACUAUGUUAGCAUCCAUUGAAAUUUGUCCUUUAAAAAAGUAUCAGCAUCAGAUUAUAACAAGCGUGGGGGAUACAUGGAAGCACCUUAAAAACUGAACAUGCGUUUGUUCCAGCAAAGCCCAGCAAUAGUAGGUCACUCUGUCGAUAAGGCCACUAAUAGAGUGUUUAGUGCGACAUGAUUUGAAGUAGCCAAAAUAAAAGUUAAUGUUAGUACAAAUGCAUAAAUUAUUCGGGGUCUUAAAUGACAGCUUAGUAUUUAAACCACUCUUGUGAGUUCCCAGUACCCACACUGAGCAACUCACAACUGCCUGUCACUCUAGUUCAGUGGGAUGUGAUGCCUCUGGUAUUCACAGGCAUCUACACUGACACACACACACAUACACACACACACACACACACACACACACAUACACUUCUGAAAAUAAUAAAAAGCAUUUUUAAAAGGUUGUGUCGUCCAUGUACACAGUGAAUUAAUAUUCAGUAAUAUAAAAGAGAUGAGCAAAAUCACUUAAUUUUAUGCAGCAUGGGUAAAAGUGCAGGACUUAAAAUGAAAUCAGGCAGACACAAGAAAUGAGCAUCCUAAUGUGCAAUCUGAAAAGUUAAUCUCAGAAGUGAAAAGUGAGUGCAGAUUGGUACAUGAGCAGUGACUGUCACCUUGGGGGAUUGUUGAAGUAGUGGUGGUCAAAGAUGAAUAUUACUGAAAUAAGCAUAAGGCUACUAGACAAUAGCUGUUUUUUUAAAGAUCUAGACUUAAUUGAAAAAAAAGAACAAGCAUUCAGAAUUUUACAGAUCACAGGUGUAUUUAAUAUGUAUUUCUUGGGAAAUACUAGAGAAAUUGGUGGUUAGUGUUCAAGUACAAAUAUUAUUUUUUUUGAAAUGAUAACGUGUUAAGUAGAUUUAACCAUCCCAGUAUAAAUAUAUACCUAAAAAUAGCAUGCUGUAUAUAAGUAGAUUGAGUUUAUUUUUCAGUGAAAUCAACAACAAACAAUAGUAAUUUGUUUUAUAUUCAGAAAGUUAUUUUUUACAGGAUGGGUGAGAGUUUGGGGUAACAGAAUAGUAUUUGCUUUUGGUCUCAGUUUUACAAAACUGUUACGUAAAAUAUACCUGGUAUCUCCUACUCUCUGCCAUUGUAGAUAGCCAGGUUUCAUACAGGCUCUACAAAAGC
RNAcentral lists this long non-coding RNA (2228 nucleotides) under Mus musculus (house mouse). RNAcentral describes it as "long non-coding RNA chr12:116056194-116058422". Lineage: Eukaryota; Metazoa; Chordata; Mammalia; Rodentia; Muridae. The record is from RNAcentral.